RNAcentral lists this ribosomal RNA (330 nucleotides) under uncultured eukaryote. RNAcentral's name for it is "partial 18S ribosomal RNA". It matches the Rfam family "Eukaryotic small subunit ribosomal RNA", at positions 1470 to 1796 of the family's 1831-position model. The record is from RNAcentral.
CCCUUAGAUGUUCGGGGCCGCACGCGCGCUACACUGAAGGAAUCAGCACGUCUCUCUCCUUGUCCGAAAGGACUGGGUAACCCGCUGAACCUCCUUCGUGCUAGGGAUUGGGGCUUGUAAUUCUUCCCCAUGAACGAGGAAUUCCCAGUAAGCGCGAGUCAUAAGCUCGCGUUGAUUACGUCCCUGCCCUUUGUACACACCGCCCGUCGCUACUACCGAUUGGAUGGUUUAGUGAGAUCCUCGGAUUGGUCCCGGCGCGGCCUCUGGUCGUGCCGGAGUGCCGAAAAGAAUGUCGAACUUGAUCAUCUAGAGGAAGUAAAAGUCGUAACA